This is a long non-coding RNA of Condylura cristata (star-nosed mole), 509 nucleotides long. RefSeq lists it as uncharacterized. The transcript has 3 exons. The record is from RefSeq and is a predicted model, not a curated record. Lineage: Eukaryota; Metazoa; Chordata; Mammalia; Eulipotyphla; Talpidae.
UGCUUGCUUCGGAGCUCUGCCUUUCCAGCCCGGCUCGGCUGCGCUUUGUCCGGCGAUGGUGAGCGAGACGAGGGCCUGGCCCGGCCCGGCCCGGCCGCUCCUGCUAGAGGUGGGGCGCGCCCAGUUCCCGGCGCCGCGGCGGCCGCUUUGCAACUCGCAACCUGGCUAAUUUCCUGCGUCCUCUGGCACCAGGAAGGAGGUCGAUUCGUCUCUCCCGGCUGCUCAAGCGACAGCUGUCAGAGGGGCAGGAGCUUCUGGGAGCCGCCAUCUGAAGGCUACGUGUGCCGCCUGGUCAUUCAAAUUGUCAAUUUUAGGUCCAGAAGUGUCCAAACCACAAGUUCUCAAAACUCUGAAAAAUGGCUCCCUUCAAGUUAAGCAAUUCUGAAAGGCAUUCUCUGGGAAAAGUCUGUGGAGAAUCGAGGGAUCUUCUUGCAAAUAAUGUGGUCUCGGGCAAAGACGCAGCAUCUUGGCUGUCUGCUCAAAAAAUGCCUAGACUCUCUCGGUGGAAA